GAACGCGCAGCGAGAGGUGCUUGCACCUUUCAAGCGAGUGGCGAACGGGUGAGUAACACGUGGAUAACCUGCCUCAAGGCUGGGGAUAACAUUUGGAAACAGAUGCUAAUACCGAAUAAAACUUAGUAUCGCAUGAUAUCAAGUUAAAAGGCGCUACGGCGUCACCUAGAGAUGGAUCCGCGGUGCAUUAGUUAGUUGGUGGGGUAAAGGCUUACCAAGACGAUGAUGCAUAGCCGAGUUGAGAGACUGAUCGGCCACAUUGGGACUGAGACACGGCCCAAACUCCUACGGGAGGCUGCAGUAGGGAAUCUUCCACAAUGGGCGCAAGCCUGAUGGAGCAACGCCGCGUGUGUGAUGAAGGCUUUCGGGUCGUAAAGCACUGUUGUAUGGGAAGAAAUGCUAAAAUAGGGAAUGAUUUUAGUUUGACGGUACCAUACCAGAAAGGGACGGCUAAAUACGUGCCAGCAGCCGCGGUAAUACGUAUGUCCCGAGCGUUAUCCGGAUUUAUUGGGCGUAAAGCGAGCGCAGACGGUUGAUUAAGUCUGAUGUGAAAGCCCGGAGCUCAACUCCGGAAUGGCAUUGGAAACUGGUUAACUUGAGUGUUGUAGAGGUAAGUGGAACUCCAUGUGUAGCGGUGGAAUGCGUAGAUAUAUGGAAGAACACCAGUGGCGAAGGCGGCUUACUGGACAACAACUGACGUUGAGGCUCGAAAGUGUGGGUAGCAAACAGGAUUAGAUACCCUGGUAGUCCACACCGUAAACGAUGAAUACUAGGUGUUAGGAGGUUUCCGCCUCUUAGUGCCGAAGCUAACGCAUUAAGUAUUCCGCCUGGGGAGUACGACCGCAAGGUUGAAACUCAAAGGAAUUGACGGGGACCCGCACAAGCGGUGGAGCAUGUGGUUUAAUUCGAAGCAACGCGAAGAACCUUACCAGGUCUUGACAUCCUUUGAAGCUUUAGAAGAUAGAAGUGUUCUCUUCGGAGACAAGUGACAGGUGGUGCAUGGUCGUCGUCAGCUCGUGUCGUGAGAAGUUUGGGUUAAGUCCCGCACGAGCGCACCCUUAUUGUUAUUGCCAGCAUUCAUUGGGCCUCUACGAGAAUGCCGUGACAAACCGGAGGAAGGGGGGGAGAACUCCAAUAUCUGCCCCUUUGACUGGGUACACCGGCUACAAGGGGUAACAACAAUGCCACCCGCGAAGG
This 1197-nucleotide ribosomal RNA is filed under the name Leuconostoc citreum. RNAcentral describes it as "bacterial SSU rRNA". It matches the Rfam family "Bacterial small subunit ribosomal RNA", at positions 64 to 1263 of the family's 1533-position model. The record is from RNAcentral. Lineage: Bacteria; Bacillati; Bacillota; Bacilli; Lactobacillales; Lactobacillaceae.